UAAAUUAAAUAGCCGCAGUAAUUUAACUGUGCAAAGGUAGCAUAAUCAUUAGUCUUAUAAUUUAAGUCUGGAAUGAAGGAUUGAAUAUUAAAUUGACUUUUUAAAAAUAAAUAAUUUUAAUUUAAUUUUUUGGUAAAAAAGCUAAAAUAAAUUAGAAAGACGAUAAGACCCUACAAAACUACAUAAGACAAAAAAAUUUAUUUAAUUUUUAUAAAAUUAUUUAAUAAUUGUGUUUUAUUUUACUGGGGAGGUUAAAUCAAAAGUGAAACUGAACACUAAUAUAUGAACUUUAAUAGAAGAUAAUAAAUAACAAUUAAGAUCCUUUAUAAAGAUUUAAAGAAAAGUUACUUUAGGGAUAACAGCGUUAAAUUUUUGAGAGUUCUUAUCAACAAAAAU
RNAcentral lists this ribosomal RNA (396 nucleotides) under Atopobathynella sp. GrPar. RNAcentral describes it as "partial large subunit ribosomal RNA". The record is from RNAcentral. Lineage: Eukaryota; Metazoa; Arthropoda; Malacostraca; Bathynellacea; Parabathynellidae.